GUCCGGAUUGGAUGAAGGGAUUAAAAGGGAACCGGGUGUAAGUCCCGGACAGUACCCGCUGCUGUGAGUCUCAUUACUGAAUUUAAGGAAUUCUAUGCCACUGGCUAUUGCUGGGAAGGCUCCUUAAAGAGACAAGUCAGAAGACCUGCCGGUGUGUUU
This 159-nucleotide non-coding RNA is filed under the name human gut metagenome. The record is from RNAcentral.